RNAcentral lists this ribosomal RNA (307 nucleotides) under uncultured bacterium. RNAcentral's name for it is "partial 16S ribosomal RNA". It matches the Rfam family "Bacterial small subunit ribosomal RNA", at positions 506 to 808 of the family's 1533-position model. The record is from RNAcentral.
AGACAGCAGUAGCCGCGGGAAUACGGAGGGUGCAAGCGUUACUCGGAAUCACUGGGCGUAAAGGACGCGUAGGCGGAUUAUCAAGUCUCUUGUGAAAUCUAACGGCUUAACCGUUAAACUGCUUGGGAAACUGAUAAUCUAGAGUAAGGGAGAGGCAGAUGGAAUUCUUGGUGUAGGGGUAAAAUCCGUAGAUAUCAAGAAGAAUACCUAUUGCGAAGGCGAUCUGCUGGGACUUAACUGACGCUGAGGAGCGAAAGCGUGGGGAGCGAACAGGAUUAGAUACCCGGUAGUCCCUGUCUCUUAUACA